Molecule: transfer RNA, 72 nt
Filed under: Trichosia lengersdorfi
Lineage: Eukaryota; Metazoa; Arthropoda; Insecta; Diptera; Sciaridae
Description: tRNA-His
Source: RNAcentral
AUUUAAAUAGUUUAUUGAAAAAUAUUGAUUUGUGGGAUCAAAGAAAUAAAUAUAUGUAUAUUAUUUUAAAUA